UAUAUUGCUAACCAAUUUUUAGUCAAUAUGAAGGCAUUCACCGGACACAACAGCCCUGCAGGACCUUUCCAUCUCCAGCGCCCAUCGUGUAGAAGUGCCAGAUGGACUAGCGACAAUGAACACUUGCAUUAAACAAAGUUGCAGGUUGUCAGGUUGAAGGCCAAGGGAAAUCUGCUCAGGAUUGUAUCAAUCAGAUAACCUUUUUGACCACAAGAUUGAUAGUGUUGAUAUCUUAUUAUUUUUACUAUUGGUGAUUGAUGGUGGAACUGACUUGUUCCACCCAGUCUGCAAAU
Sorghum bicolor (sorghum) is the source of this 293-nucleotide long non-coding RNA. RefSeq lists it as uncharacterized. The record is from RefSeq and is a predicted model, not a curated record. The transcript is spliced from 3 exons. NCBI's taxonomy places the organism in Eukaryota, Viridiplantae, Streptophyta, Magnoliopsida, Poales, Poaceae.